GGGUUGUGAGGUUAAGCGACUAAGCGUACACGGUGGAUGCCCUGGCAGUCAGAGGCGAUGAAGGACGUGCUAAUCUGCGAUAAGCGUCGGUGAGGUGAUAUGAACCGUUAUAACCGGCGAUUUCCGAAUGGGGAAACCCAGUGUGUUUCGACACACUAUCAUUAACUGAAUCCAUAGGUUAAUGAGGCGAACCGGGGGAACUGAAACAUCUAAGUACCCCGAGGAAAAGAAAUCAACCGAGAUUCCCCCAGUAGCGGCGAGCGAACGGGGAGCAGCCCAGAGCCUGAAUCAGUGUGUGUGUUAGUGGAAGCGUCUGGAAAGGCGCGCGAUACAGGGUGACAGCCCCGUACACAAAAAUGCACAUGCUGUGAGCUCGAUGAGUAGGGCGGGACACGUGGUAUCCUGUCUGAAUAUGGGGGGACCAUCCUCCAAGGCUAAAUACUCCUGACUGACCGAUAGUGAACCAGUACCGUGAGGGAAAGGCGAAAAGAACCCCGGCGAGGGGAGUGAAAAAGAACCUGAAACCGUGUACGUACAAGCAGUGGGAGCCUCUUUAUGGGGUGACUGCGUACCUUUUGUAUAAUGGGUCAGCGACUUAUAUUCUGUAGCAAGGUUAACCGAAUAGGGGAGCCGAAGGGAAACCGAGUCUUAACUGGGCGUUAAGUUGCAGGGUAUAGACC
This 680-nucleotide ribosomal RNA is filed under the name Phocaeicola vulgatus. RNAcentral describes it as "Bacteroides vulgatus partial 23S ribosomal RNA". It matches the Rfam family "Bacterial large subunit ribosomal RNA", at positions 1 to 715 of the family's 2925-position model. The record is from RNAcentral. Lineage: Bacteria; Pseudomonadati; Bacteroidota; Bacteroidia; Bacteroidales; Bacteroidaceae.